RNAcentral lists this ribosomal RNA (265 nucleotides) under Uroplatus ebenaui. RNAcentral's name for it is "partial small subunit ribosomal RNA". The record is from RNAcentral. Lineage: Eukaryota; Metazoa; Chordata; Lepidosauria; Squamata; Gekkonidae.
CUAUAAUCGAUAACCCACGCUAAACCUCUCCCACAAUUGUACCACCAGCCUAUAUACCUCCGUCGCCAGCCCGCCUGAUAACAGACACCAAGCGAGUAUAAUAGUCCAACCACUAGCACGACAGGUCAAGGUGUAGCUAAUAUGUGGGCUGCAAUGGGCUACAUUUUUUAUUCUUAAAACAAACCCGAGUGUUAUGAAAACCGCACAAAAAGGUGGAUUUAGCAGUAAGCAAGGAUUAGCAUGCCCGCCUGAAACCUGCCCUGAG